UAGGGAAUCUUCCACAAUGGACGAAAGUCUGAUGGAGCAAUGCCGCGUGAGUGAAGAAGGUUUUCGGAUCGUAAAACUCUGUUGUGAGGGAAGAACAAGUACGAGAGUAACUGCUCGUACCUUGACGGUACCUCAUUAGAAAGCCACGGCUAACUACGCGCCAGCAGCCGCGGUAAUACGUAGGUGGCAAGCGUUGUCCGGAAUUAUUGGGCGUAAAGCGCGCGCAGGCGGUCCUUUAAGUCUGAUGUGAAAUCCCACGGCUCAACCGUGGAAGGUCAUUGGAAACUGGGGGACUUGAGUACAGAAGAGGAAAGCGGAAUUCCAAGUGUAGCGGUGAAAUGCGUAGAGAUUUGGAGGAACACCAGUGGCGAAGGCGGCUUUCUGGUCUGUAACUGACGCUGAGGCGCGAAAGCGUGGGGAGCAAACA
Molecule: ribosomal RNA, 427 nt
Filed under: uncultured bacterium
Lineage: Bacteria
Description: bacterial SSU rRNA
Rfam family: Bacterial small subunit ribosomal RNA
Source: RNAcentral